GCUCUUCACUCUAAAGAAGCCCACAGGGGUGAGCUGUCAGCUCUUCACAAGCCCCUGCCUUAAUAGCAGGAUCUGCAGAGUCCCACAGUCUAGGCCCCAAAAGGUAACAAAAGGUAAAACCAAAUCCCAUGAACAGAGGGCAGACCCACAACUCUCCAUGCUUGGAUUUUGUGUUUGCUUGUUUGUUGAUUUUUGUCACCUGACCUGUCACACACAAAACCUACGCGCAGACUCACACCAGAGGAACCCAAGGGCUUGGCUGGUGUGUAGCCCCCAUGUCUGACCCGUCAAGUCCUCCAGCAGAACUUCCCGGGAUGCUUGGCAGACUCAGUGGGAACCUGACUCUUGAAAUGUGGCUGGUGUGGCCAAGGAGCAACACUUUCAUUUACUCUAAACGUAAAUGUAAUUAGCCACGCAAGGCUACGGCUACUGCAUUAGACAGCACGUCUCCGGAGACGCCAAAUAAGCGUGAUGAUGUCACUGGCCAUUUGGAAGCAAUUUAUUGACUAUACACUAGGGGAAAUAUUUUUAUCAGAAUCUGGAAAGGAUGCUGUCGGUGUAACAUUUCCCUGUGGACCAGAAAUGCUGACAGAGACCGAUGUGUCAAUGCUCGUGUUCUGUGAAGAAUUCAAAAUGCAGCCUCUGCUUUCAGCCUCAGAUCCCCGUGUGGUGGCUAAGAGCCUGUGACGCAGAGGGAGAGACUGACAAGCGGCAUCAUCUCCUGACGUUCUGCAUAUUUCUCUCUCCUGAGCGGACUUGGAGGAAAGGCAGCACUUAAGAUGCUACCGAUGACAACCUGCCAUUUUCUAUCUGGAUAAAAAUAGCAUGAGGGCAGCUUCUUGCCUGAGUCAUACUUUGAUUAUCACACAUUCCUGGCCUCCUGCUGCUAAGGCACAGGUAAGAAUUUGUAAGGUGUCUUAGGAUUUGUUAAACUCUAGCUGAGGAUGAGCAGAUUGCAAGAGAAUAAGAACAACUGCAAAAACAUUGCUCUACCUCCUCCAGGCUUCAUCCUCCAUCACUCGAAUUGCGAACACGCAUCUAGAUUAUGUCCAGCUACAUACACAAGAAUUAUUGGCACUUGUGAUGCUAGAUUUUUCCACCUCUCUAUGUAAUAAAAAAUCUUGGUUAAAAAUCCAGGACUUAAGCAA
Long non-coding RNA from Talpa occidentalis (Iberian mole), 1148 nucleotides. RefSeq lists it as uncharacterized. The transcript is spliced from 3 exons. Lineage: Eukaryota; Metazoa; Chordata; Mammalia; Eulipotyphla; Talpidae. The record is from RefSeq and is a predicted model, not a curated record.